This 207-nucleotide ribosomal RNA is filed under the name uncultured bacterium. RNAcentral's name for it is "partial 16S ribosomal RNA". It matches the Rfam family "Bacterial small subunit ribosomal RNA", at positions 568 to 774 of the family's 1533-position model. The record is from RNAcentral.
AGCGUAGGUGGCAAGGCAAGCCAGAAGUGAAAACCCGGGGCUCAACCGCGGGAUUGCUUUUGGAACUGUCAUGCUAGAGUGCAGGAGGGGUGAGCGGAAUUCCUAGUGUAGCGGUGAAACGCGUAGAUAUUAGGAGGAACACCGGAGGCGAAGGCGGCUCACUGGACUGUAACUGACACUGAGGCUCGAAAGCGUGGGGAGCAAACA